AGCCUUGUAUUCAUUUUGUGAUUAUAGAAUGCAAUUCUGUAGGGGUGAGUCGAAUAAUGACUUACCAAGGCCU
This 73-nucleotide transfer RNA is filed under the name Orthognathotermes sp. n. Its description in RNAcentral is "tRNA-Cys". The record is from RNAcentral. Lineage: Eukaryota; Metazoa; Arthropoda; Insecta; Blattodea; Termitidae.